AUGACGGGUAACGGGGAAUUAGGGUUCGAUUCCGGAGAGGGAGCCUGAGAAACGGCUACCACAUCUAAGGAAGGCAGCAGGCGCGCAAAUUACCCAAUCCUAAUACAGGGAGGUAGUGACAAGAAAUAACAAUACAGGACUUUAACAGUUUUGUAAUUGGAAUGAGUUGAGUAUAAACCCCUUUACAAGUAUCAAUUGGAGGGCAAGUCUGGUGCCAGCAGCCGCGGUAAUUCCAGCUCCAAUAGCGUAUAUUAAAGUUGUUGCAGUUAAAAAGCUCGUAGUUGGAUUUCUGUUAAUAAUUUAUAUAUAAUAUUUAACAUAUUUAUAUAAUAUUAACAUAAUUCAUAUUACUAUUUAUAGUAUAUGAAACUUUACUUUGAGAAAAUUAGAGUGCUUAAAGCAGGCUUUUGCCUUGAAUACUAGAGCAUGGAAUAAUAUUAAAGAUUUUUAUCUUUCUUAUUGGUUCUAAGAUAGAAAUAAUGAUUAAUAGGGACAGUUGGGGGCAUUUGUAUUUAACAGUUAGAGGUGAAAUUCUU
Molecule: ribosomal RNA, 536 nt
Filed under: Cryptosporidium canis
Lineage: Eukaryota; Apicomplexa; Conoidasida; Eucoccidiorida; Cryptosporidiidae
Description: SSU rRNA
Rfam family: Eukaryotic small subunit ribosomal RNA
Source: RNAcentral